RNAcentral lists this ribosomal RNA (515 nucleotides) under uncultured bacterium. Its description in RNAcentral is "bacterial SSU rRNA". It matches the Rfam family "Bacterial small subunit ribosomal RNA", at positions 14 to 518 of the family's 1533-position model. The record is from RNAcentral.
CGAUUCUGGCUCAGGAUGAACGCUAGCUACAGGCUUAACACAUGCAAGUCGAGGGGCAUCAGGGAGAAAGCUUGCUUUCUUGCUGGCGACCGGCGCACGGGUGAGUAACGCGUAUCCAACCUUCCCCCCAGUAGGGCAUAGCCCGGCGAAAGUCGGAUUAAUACCCUAUGUUUUCCAAUGAGGACAUCUGAGCUGGAACAAAGAUUUAUCGCUGGGGGAUGGGGAUGCGUCCGAUUAGGUUGUUGGCGGGGUAACGGCCCACCAAGCCCGCGAUCGGUAGGGGUUCUGAGAGGAAGGUCCCCCACACUGGUACUGAGACACGGACCAGACUCCUACGGGAGGCAGCAGUGAGGAAUAUUGGUCAAUGGGCGCGAGCCUGAACCAGCCAAGUAAGCGUGCAGGACGACGGCCCUAUGGGUUGUAAACUGCUUUUAUGCGGGGAUAAAGUGGCGUACGUGUACGUUUUUGUAGGUACCGCAUGAAUAAGGACCGGCUAAUUCCGUGCCAGCCGCCGC